UCAAUGAUCAUCCGUCCACACAUCAUACAUCAUAUGUAUAAAUCAUCAUCAUGUAGGACUACUAGAUAAUAAUAAAAAUAAUAAUCAAUUAAACAUUUUACUCAAUUAAUAUUUUCUAAAAUUAGGGACACGUAUGGAAGUUUCUAAAUUUUGAGGGGUAUUUUCAUAAUUUGGAUAAAAGGACAGAAUUGGAAAUUCAUAAA
RNAcentral lists this long non-coding RNA (203 nucleotides) under Musa acuminata (dwarf banana). Its description in RNAcentral is "long non-coding RNA (MACU_LNC008946)". The record is from RNAcentral. Lineage: Eukaryota; Viridiplantae; Streptophyta; Magnoliopsida; Zingiberales; Musaceae.